Molecule: long non-coding RNA, 1310 nt
Organism: Suricata suricatta (meerkat)
Lineage: Eukaryota; Metazoa; Chordata; Mammalia; Carnivora; Herpestidae
Exons: 2
Source: RefSeq, a predicted model, not a curated record
AGGCUGCUUUUGUUAACAUAUUUCACUGAGGUCCAGGGCGGCGUGCCAGGGACCCCGGGGUUGGGGGGAUCCAGCAGAGGGCGGAACAGAACCCCGGCUCAAGGAGCCCAAGUCCCAGUGGCGCACAGGACCCGAUGAGACGGUGAUGUCUGAGCAGAGGCCGGGAGCAGCUGAGGGCCCGCCCGGCCAGAUGGCCACUGAGUGAAGAACCUUCCAGGCAGGACAAAAUGGAGGCUCCUGCAGGAAAUCUCCCGGAUCCUUUCCGGGGCUGGUGUGUGUUUGGAAACAGAGCUGCGCUGGCUUCAGAACAAGAUGGGAAGGCGGCCAUGACCGUGAGAAAGGACUUGGAACCCAAGUCCCGACCCUGAGAAAUUGAGAUGUUGCCCAAGGGUCCCUUUCCUGUCCUUCUAUCCUCUAUUCUCCCAAGGAGGCUGCCCAGGGAGGAGAAAGCUUCAGCCACCGGCCUGGGUGGGGACCCGUCACCAGCCCCACCCAGGGAUCCAAGUUCCUGUUUACGACUGGUGUCCUGGAAUAGCUUGUUUUGAUCCAGAGAAAUCUGCUGACGCACUGCUGGCUCUCCUCCCUCAGGGUGGAGGUAUUUUUAAAGCCUUAUUUGCAGAAAAAAAGGCAGAACCCAAGCGCCACCUUUGUCCACCUCACUGUGAGGCUACCUCUCCUCUUGCCCCCCCUACCCCAAGGCAGGACAGGGAUGUCCCUGUACAGUUUUGUACUGUUAAAGAGCAAAAUUCAGUGGAGGAAGUUUAAAGACCUAAGUGGCUGUAUUCAGUGAUUCAUGAAUUAGGCAGCACUCCAUCUGAUAAACAGGAAGUAGCUCCAGGGAGCAGUACAAAACAGAAGGGUUUUACAGGCCGAAAUAGGGUGUGACAAGGAGGAUAUUAGCAAGAGAAAAUGGAUUGUUUCAAGCAAGGUCACCUUCCUGUAGGCGGAGGAGCAAGAGGCCUCGCAAUGCAGCCUCACUGCAUUGGGCAGAUCGGGACAUUACAGACUGGUCUGAAACUGCAGUUAAGUUACAUAUUAAAUCUUGGUGGGGCUUAGCCCUCGUGACUUCACUCUAGCUGUGUUGUUUAUUUUUAACGCUAUCUUCCUCUCCGCCCUCCUCAAGGACAUUCCUUUGCCAAACAAAGCCGGCUGUGUGGAACUGGAGGCACAGAGAGCUUCUUCACAAGGACCCUCCGAAACUGCCAUUUUGUCCCUGAAAAUAAAGUGGGUGGACCCAUUAGCUCCAGACACGAGGGCACAGAGAACCGCCUUUUGUCCGUUUGUGAUGGGAAAUCCCAAGCUUCUUAGGA